RNAcentral lists this ribosomal RNA (465 nucleotides) under uncultured Ralstonia sp. RNAcentral's name for it is "bacterial SSU rRNA". It matches the Rfam family "Bacterial small subunit ribosomal RNA", at positions 338 to 795 of the family's 1533-position model. Lineage: Bacteria; Pseudomonadati; Pseudomonadota; Betaproteobacteria; Burkholderiales; Burkholderiaceae. The record is from RNAcentral.
CCUACGGGAGGCAGCAGUGGGGAAUUUUGGACAAUGGGCGAAAGCCUGAUCCAGCAAUGCCGCGUGUGUGAAGAAGGCCUUCGGGUUGUAAAGCACUUUUGUCCGGAAAGAAAUGGCUCUGGUUAAUACCUGGGGUCGAUGACGGUACCGGAAGAAUAAGGACCGGCUAACUACGUGCCAGCAGCCGCGGUAAUACGUAGGGUCCAAGCGUUAAUCGGAAUUACUGGGCGUAAAGCGUGCGCAGGCGGUUGUGGAAGACCGAAUUUAAAUCCCCGAGCUUAAAUUGGGAAUUGCAUUCGUGACUGCACGGGUAGAGUGUGUCAGAGGGGGGUAGAAUUCCACGUGUAGCAGUGGAAUGCGUAGAGAUGUGGAGGAAUAACGAUGGCGAAGGCAGGCCCCUGGGAUAACACUGACGCUCAUGCACGAAAGCGUGGGGAGCAAACAGGAUUAGAUACCCCUGUAGUC